Molecule: ribosomal RNA, 253 nt
Filed under: uncultured bacterium
Lineage: Bacteria
Description: partial 16S ribosomal RNA
Rfam family: Bacterial small subunit ribosomal RNA
Source: RNAcentral
UACGUAGGGUGCAAGCGUUGUCCGGAAUUAUUGGGCGUAAAGAGCUCGUAGGCGGUCUGUCGCGUCUGCUGUGAAAACUCAGGGCUUAACCCUGAGCUUGCAGUGGGUACGGGCAGACUAGAGUGCGGUAGGGGAGACUGGAAUUCCUGGUGUAGCGGUGAAAUGCGCAGAUAUCAGGAGGAACACCGGUGGCGAAGGCGGGUCUCUGGGCCGUAACUGACGCUGAGGAGCGAAAGCAUGGGGAGCGAUCAGG